Molecule: long non-coding RNA, 598 nt
Organism: Pelmatolapia mariae (spotted tilapia)
Lineage: Eukaryota; Metazoa; Chordata; Actinopteri; Cichliformes; Cichlidae
Exons: 3
Source: RefSeq, a predicted model, not a curated record
UUAGCUGCAUAUUAUUUAUAUUGAUGUAGGGGGAAAUAGAUUUAAAAAAUCUAUAUUAAAAACUUUUAACUUCUUUCACUUUGUUUGCAUUUGAAUGGAAGCAAACCAGCUUAUUCUAAGCUGAACAAACAGCUCCUGUUUCCUGCAGGAUAAGAAGGAUAAUGCUCCUCCAUCGCCAUCUUAUUGUGAUGGAGGGAUUGGUGUGUCCUGGAAGCUAUGUUGUUGGUGGCAAUUUACCUCAGGAAAACCAGACUGACCAGGCUCUCCAGGGUUACCAGGGCUUCCUCUUUCACCAGGGACACCCGGAUCACCUUGUGGAUAUGGCCCAUUUGGCAGUGGAGCUGGAAAUACGAUUCCAGGCAAACCUUUCGGACCUGGAAACCCUGGAAGGGAAAGGGUGGAGAAAAAGAGGGAUGAAGGAAAGAUAAAAGGAAAACCAGAGUCACCUCUAAAACCCUUGACACCAGGAAUUCCAGCAAAACCACCAUCACCCUUUUGUCCUGAAGGGCAAAUACAUAAUGUUUCAGUUUAUCUUUUUUUUUUUUAAUUGAAAACAUGUAGGAGCAAACAUAGAAAUGAAGAAGCAGCAUUUUUAGUU